RNAcentral lists this transfer RNA (71 nucleotides) under Sulfoacidibacillus thermotolerans. RNAcentral describes it as "Acidibacillus sulfuroxidans tRNA-Gln". It matches the Rfam family "tRNA". Rfam says of the family: Transfer RNA (tRNA) molecules are approximately 80 nucleotides in length. Lineage: Bacteria; Bacillati; Bacillota; Bacilli; Caryophanales; Alicyclobacillaceae. The record is from RNAcentral.
GAGUAGCCAAGUGGUAAGGCAACGGACUUUGACUCCGUCAUUCGUAGGUUCGAUCCCUACCUCCCCAGCCA